Molecule: long non-coding RNA, 716 nt
Organism: Canis lupus familiaris (dog)
Lineage: Eukaryota; Metazoa; Chordata; Mammalia; Carnivora; Canidae
Exons: 3
Source: RefSeq, a predicted model, not a curated record
AGUUUCUUCUCUGAAUUCAUCGUUUUCCGAAAAUCCCACUCGAUCCAGAAUCAUUUCGCGGAGACCCCCCCCCCCCCCAAGUCGGAAUGCCUCCGAGGCCUCCCCCCUUCUCUAAGGACGAGGAAAGCAUCUGGAUUCCGCGGCACUCCUACCUUCGGGCGCGACAUGGUACGAUUCACCAGGGCCGGACCCAAACCGCCACCGCAACAGCUCCAGCCUCCGCGUCCCGUUGCCAAGGUGAUGGAGGCCGGAUCCUCCUCUCUGAUUGGAUGAGCUAAAGGCCCUCCUCCUCGCAGGGUUCGCAGUCUAGUGUCUGAUCCCAGCACCCGAAAGCUCUUGCGCGCCCGGGAGGCCCAGACCCUCUUACUUCGUUCGACCUUUUUCUCCCAGCCCCUCUCCUCUGCGACCCUGGGGCGUACACGGCCAGAGAGUGGCUGCCCUGGGCGGGCACGGACUGCCCAGCGCUUCCUCCAGCUGCAUUUCGCUAGACCUAAGAGCGCUCUGUCUGAAAAGUUGUCAGCUUUUGGGUUUUUAACAUGAUGGAGUUCCUUUGUACAUGCGACCUGAUUAUUCCUCCAACAACCAAACCUGAGAUGUCCGAUAUGUAGCUCCCAGCCACGUGUUAAGCAAGUGACAUGUGGCUCCUGAACUGAGCUGUGCUCUAAGUGUAAAGUGCACACUGGGUGGUAAAGACUUCAUACAAUAAAAAGGAGGUA